RNAcentral lists this long non-coding RNA (619 nucleotides) under Homo sapiens (human). RNAcentral describes it as "HSALNT0142031". Lineage: Eukaryota; Metazoa; Chordata; Mammalia; Primates; Hominidae. The record is from RNAcentral.
UUUGGCCUUUGGCAAUUCAGUAAACAUUUUAGCAAUUUCUUCUUUCCUGCCUGCUGAAGACUGACUUCCUCCUGCUGCCAAAGUUCUAGAGUCUGGACGUCUGAGAUCAGGGUGCCAGCACUGUCGAGGUCACAGACUGCAGACCUCCUUGUAUCUUCAAAUGGAGGAAAGAGGACAAGAGAGCUCCUGUGGUCCCUUUUAUCAAGAUGAAUGCACAAGGAAAAUGUUGUACAUUUGCACAUUGGAGUACACUUCAGCCAUAAAAAGAAUGAGAUGCUGUCAUUUGCAACAACAGUUGAAGCCUAGUCAAGAAGAGGGCUCAGAGAAGCUUGACUAAAGUUUCAUGAAGAGAGUCUCUGUCAGUGGUGGGUCUUUGAUUCUCAAGGAAGCUGUCAGAAGCUUCAUCUAACUUCUCUUCCACUCUACUUUCUUCUGGGGAAGAAGUGACCCAACAAUUUGAUCUAAUAUUUGCCUGAUAAUAUUGAACAUCCUUGCAUCCAUUAAAGUUUACUGUUCUAAGACUUACUUUAACCAAGGUCAACAGCAAUCUGAGACACACUCUUCUCAUGGCAGAUUAUGGGACCAUAAAGCAGGAAUAAGAACCACAGCGUGAUAUUCU